UUUAAUAAAAAAUCAAAAAUG
This 21-nucleotide non-coding RNA is filed under the name Caenorhabditis elegans. Lineage: Eukaryota; Metazoa; Nematoda; Chromadorea; Rhabditida; Rhabditidae. The record is from RNAcentral.